GGGGGCGUGUGGCUUCGACGGGGACGUGGAUUGCGAGAUGGCGUGUCGAGCCCCGGGCUCGUAAAACCGGGAAAGGCAUUAACUGCCAACCACUCGAGCCAACCGGCUCUGGCCUACGCCGCCUGAUCUGAUCAGGAGGUAGUGCCAAAAGCUCAGGCCCAGGCCUGACGUCGACCGGGCGGGCGCCCACGACGCCCGGAUCCGACGUUAAUACAGCGGGCUAGCCUGGCGGUGGCGCCGCAGCGCCGCUGGGGACGAAAACUGCAGCUGGUCUCGGCGGAGCCCGUCCGGAGGCGCCGCCGCGGCGAGAUCAAUAUCCGGGCUACACACGUAGAGGUCUUGUGGGACGCGUCUUCGGACCCGGGUUCGAUUCCCGGCGCCUCCACCA
RNAcentral lists this transfer-messenger RNA (388 nucleotides) under Candidatus Dormiibacterota bacterium. It matches the Rfam family "transfer-messenger RNA". Rfam says of the family: Bacterial tmRNA, also known as 10Sa RNA or SsrA, is named for its dual tRNA and mRNA-like properties. Its role is to liberate the mRNA from a stalled ribosome. To accomplish this part of the tmRNA is used as a reading frame that ends in a translation stop signal. RNAcentral also lists the same sequence under 1 other name. The record is from RNAcentral. Lineage: Bacteria; Bacillati; Candidatus Dormiibacterota.